This 206-nucleotide unclassified non-coding RNA is filed under the name Hevea brasiliensis (rubber tree). The record is from RNAcentral. Lineage: Eukaryota; Viridiplantae; Streptophyta; Magnoliopsida; Malpighiales; Euphorbiaceae.
AAAAUGUAUCCAGAUUUUAUGGGGAAGGAGGAUUAUCAGUCCUACAAGUCGACCAAAAUUUUGGGAAGACUUUAUCGACAGGUUAAAGAUGCUUAUGAUGAUAAUGUUGAGUCUGCAUCUUCAGAGCUCAACAUUGUUCCUGGUGACAUCCCUUAUGAUAGGGAUUUGGAGGUUUUCGGAUCAUCUGAUUACAUUCUGGAUGCCUG